RNAcentral lists this ribosomal RNA (226 nucleotides) under uncultured bacterium. RNAcentral's name for it is "partial 16S ribosomal RNA". It matches the Rfam family "Bacterial small subunit ribosomal RNA", at positions 118 to 334 of the family's 1533-position model. The record is from RNAcentral.
CGGGUUAACCCUAACCCACUCAGGGAGGGAUACACUUGGAAACAGGUGCUAAUACCGCAUAACAGUUUAUGCCGCAUGGCAUAAGAGUGAAAGGCGCUUUCGGGUGUCGCUGAUGGAUGGACCCGCGGUGCAUUAGCUAGUUGGUGAGGUAACGGCUCACCAAGGCCACGAUGCAUAGCCGACCUGAGAGGGUGAUCGGCCACACUGGGACUGAGACACGGCCCAG